GAUUUCUGACGAACCGGAGUGGCCCGUUCUCGAUUCCGAGUAUGAGUGCCGCUUUGAGUUUGUCAUCCUUCCAGAGAGCGGCGUCUACCGUUUAUUCGGCCGGAUGCUUGCGAUCUGGAUCUAUUACUUUGAAAAAAUUAGAGUGUUUCAAGCAGGCUUUAUGCUAUGAAUACAUUAGCAUGGAAUAAUAAUUUAGGACUUCGGUUCUAUUUUGUUGGUUUCUAGGACUGAAGUAAUGAUUGAUAGGGAUAGUUGGGGGUGCUAGUAUUCAGCGGCCAGAGGUGAAAUUCUCGGAUUCGCUGAAGACUAACUUAUGCGAAAGCAUU
RNAcentral lists this ribosomal RNA (326 nucleotides) under uncultured Euglypha. RNAcentral's name for it is "SSU rRNA". The stretch from base 107 to 326 matches the Rfam family "Eukaryotic small subunit ribosomal RNA", at positions 735 to 955 of the family's 1831-position model. The record is from RNAcentral. Lineage: Eukaryota; Cercozoa; Imbricatea; Euglyphida; Euglyphidae.